CCUACGGGAGGCAGCAGUGGGGAAUAUUGCACAAUGGGGGAAACCCUGAUGCAGCGACGCCGCGUGAGUGAAGAAGUAUUUCGGUAUGUAAAGCUCUAUCAGCAGGGAAGAAGAAAGACGGUACCUGACUAAGAAGCCCCGGCUAACUACGUGCCAGCAGCCGCGGUCAUACGUAGGGGGCAAGCGUUAUCCGGAUUUACUGGGUGUAAAGGGAGCGUAGACGGCUGUGCAAGUCUGAAGUGAAAGCCCAGGGCUCAACCCUGGGACUGCUUUGGAAACUGUGGAGCUAGAGUGCUGGAGAGGUAAGUGGAAUUCCUAGUGUAGCGGUGAAAUGCGUAGAUAUUAGGAGGAACACCAGUGGCGAAGGCGGCUUACUGGACAGUAACUGACGUUGAGGCUCGAAAGCGUGGGGAGCAAACAGGAUUAGAUACCCUUGUAGUC
This 441-nucleotide ribosomal RNA is filed under the name uncultured bacterium. RNAcentral's name for it is "partial 16S ribosomal RNA". It matches the Rfam family "Bacterial small subunit ribosomal RNA", at positions 338 to 795 of the family's 1533-position model. The record is from RNAcentral.